This 102-nucleotide small nucleolar RNA is filed under the name Sciurus carolinensis (gray squirrel). RNAcentral's name for it is "Small nucleolar RNA U13". It matches the Rfam family "Small nucleolar RNA U13". The record is from Rfam by way of RNAcentral. Lineage: Eukaryota; Metazoa; Chordata; Mammalia; Rodentia; Sciuridae. RNAcentral also lists the same sequence under 1 other name.
AUCUUUUUGUGGUUCAUAAAUGUGCUGGUUGGGUUUCCACGAUAUUGUGGGAGAGGUGUCUGUCAAACCUUGUAAUGAUGUCAGUACAUUGCCCGUCUGGUA